AGGUCGGUAGUUCAGCGUCUAGAACAACGGUCUCCAAAACCGUAGACUUGGGUUAGAGUCCCAACUGGCCUG
This 72-nucleotide transfer RNA is filed under the name Caudoviricetes sp. RNAcentral describes it as "tRNA-Trp". It matches the Rfam family "tRNA". Rfam says of the family: Transfer RNA (tRNA) molecules are approximately 80 nucleotides in length. Their secondary structure includes four short double-helical elements and three loops (D, anti-codon, and T loops). The record is from RNAcentral. Lineage: Duplodnaviria; Heunggongvirae; Uroviricota; Caudoviricetes.